This is a long non-coding RNA of Scylla paramamosain (green mud crab), 1283 nucleotides long. RefSeq lists it as uncharacterized. The record is from RefSeq and is a predicted model, not a curated record. The transcript has 4 exons. Lineage: Eukaryota; Metazoa; Arthropoda; Malacostraca; Decapoda; Portunidae.
GCACUUUUUCAAUCCCUAGGAAGGAGAGAGCGCGAGACAAGACGGGACAUCCUACAAAGCCUAACAUUUCUGCCAAUAUUACAGGAUGGACAGCUUAGGAUACCACACGGAGGGGGGGUGAAGGAGCCUUGGGGAUGCCUGAAGGAGGGGCAGUGAAGGAGGGUGGCCUGGAGGUGAAGGAAAUGCAGAAAAUUCCUCUAAUACUGAGCGCUUCUCUAGUCAGACCAUCCUUCACUGAAUAUUUGGACCGAGGCUUCAAGAUACGAGUGAGCCAGGCGACCCUCCAGAACAGCGCCAUCCUGCCCACUUGUGGUGUGGCAGCCCUGAUCGUACCCCUCCCUCCCUCCUCCUCCUCCUCCUCCUCCAGCAAAGAAGAGACCUUUGACCAGCUGGUGGACAGGGUCCGCGCCUUUAGCCGAGUACACGCGGGGGGCGUUGUAAUACUGGUGGGUGCUGUGUUUGGCAUGGAGGAGGUGAACGGGGUGUUGGGGAAAUUAUCAAGGAGGUUACUACCACGCCCUCCCCUGCUACUGCCUGCCCACGGGGAAGCCCAGGCUGCCGCGCACAUACAACUACUGGCAAAGAAGUAGCGGCGGGGCUGGAAGUGGGCGGGAGUUUAGCAGGCUUCGCUAAGAUUGGGCUGGAAGUUAACGGAGGAGGAGGCGCGGCACGUGACUAUGCAAUACAGGGCUUACAGAGGGCAGGCGUGACUGGGCCCUGCCUCGCCGCCCUUGUCAACACCUUAGAGAGAGAUACGCUCACCUUGUAGAGAGAGAGAGAGAGAGAGAGAGAGAGAGAGAGAGAGAGAGAAUAUAUUUUAAUUUUCUUUCGUUAUAUAUUCAAUUUAUUUAUUUAUUUAUUAUUUUAACGGUUAUUUUCUUUUCUCUUUUUCGUUUCGUUUUUUUUUUUAUGGAAUGUUGAAUUUUACCUAUAUUUGUUUACAUUUUUUUUUUAUCAAUUUCUUUCGAUUUUAUAUUCAGUUCAUUUAUUUAUCUUUAUUGUUUUAAGACCAUUUAUUUAUUUUAUUUAUUUUUUCGUUCAUUUUCAUAAUGGGAAUAUUUACUUUUAUAUAUAUUUUUCAAUUAUUUUUCAUUUCUUCGAUUUAAGUGUGUCUAAGUACUUGCAAGGAUCAUUUAUUUAUUUAUUUACUUUUAUUUUCCGUCCGUUUUUAUUUAUUUAUUUAUUUAUUUAUUUAUCUUUUUCUAUAAUGGAAACUUAUUUCAUCUUUUUUCCCGUUUUCUGUUACUUGUUCAUGCCAGGGGUGACAAUAAACAUUAAGAUUA